Molecule: ribosomal RNA, 362 nt
Filed under: uncultured Methanomicrobiales archaeon
Lineage: Archaea; Methanobacteriati; Methanobacteriota; Methanomicrobia; Methanomicrobiales
Description: bacterial SSU rRNA
Rfam family: Archaeal small subunit ribosomal RNA
Source: RNAcentral
AGAGGAGGUGCAUGGCCGUCGUCAGUUCGUACUGUGAAGCAUCCUGUUAAGUCAGGCAACGAGCGAGACCCACGCCAACAGUUGCCAGCUCGUCCUCCGGGAUGGUGGGGACACUGUUGGGACCGCCUCUGGCUAAAGGAGGAGGAAGGAAUGGGGCAACGGUAGGUCAGCAUGCCCCGAAGUUAUCUGGGCUACACGCGGGCUACAAUGGGUGGGACAAUGGGUAUCGACACCGAAAGGUGAAGGCAAUCUCCUAAACCCAUCCGUAGUUCGGAUUGUGGGCUGCAACUCGCCCACAUGAAGCUGGAAUCUGUAGUAAUCGUGUCUCAAAAUGGCACGGUGAAUAUGUCCCUGCUCCCGUU